Molecule: ribosomal RNA, 553 nt
Filed under: Podoscirtus sp. MCJ-2002
Lineage: Eukaryota; Metazoa; Arthropoda; Insecta; Orthoptera; Gryllidae
Description: SSU rRNA
Rfam family: Eukaryotic small subunit ribosomal RNA
Source: RNAcentral
UGAUAUGCUUGUCUUAAAGAUUAAGCCAUGCAUGCCUCAGUACAAACUGUUGUAGAGUGAAACCGCGAAUGGCUCAUUAAAUCAGUUAUGGUUCCUUGGACCUAACAGUUUACUUGGAUAACUGUGGUAAUUCUAGAGCUAAUACAUGCAUUUCAGUCGUGACCCGAAAGGGGAAGGACGCUUUUAUUAGAUCAAAACCAAUCGGCCGGCUCGCCCGGUCGUUCCGUUUUGGUGACUCUGGAUAACCUUGGGCUGAUCGCACGGUCUCCGCACCGGCGACGUGUCCUUCAAAUGUCUGCCUUAUCAACUGACGAUGGUAGGUUCUGCGCCUACCAUGGUUGUAACGGGUAACGGGGAAUCAGGGUUCGAUUCCGGAGAGGGAGCCUGAGAAACGGCUACCACAUCCAAGGAAGGCAGCAGGCGCGCAAAUUACCCACUCCCGGCACGGGGAGGUAGUGACGAAAAAUAACGAUACGGGACUCAUCCGAGGCCCCGUAAUCGGAAUGAGAACAUUUUAAAUCCCUUAACGAUUACCCAUUAGAGGGCAAGUCUG